ACAAGAUAGCUUUCCAAAAAAGACAAACAAAGGCACUUUUAAGAGCCAUUCUCUCUCUCGCUCUCUCUCUCACACUUUCUCUCUCUUUCUCACACUCACAGACACACACACACACACACACACACACACACACACACACACACACACACACACACACACACACACACACACACACACACCUGUAUUUUAUCUGUAUUGUGUGUCAAUUGUCCAGCGAUGUUCAAAAACCAGAAGGUUUGUUCUGAUGCCGUUGAGAUCAGGGACCAUAUGGCUUCUGAAAUCAGUAAUGCGCUACUCCUUGAGGCCCGGGUGAGACCAAUUUCAUCAGCUUACUUCCAUUUGUAUGAACUUUACCAUUGCUGUUGUUUGAGUAAUCCAAUGUAAAGUAUAACUUUACAGUCUGAUAUUGUAUCUGAAAAUGUUGCUGUUAUUGUCAUGUAGGCAGCAAUGGGAGACUCCCACUUUCCUCCAAAAAAGAAGAGGAGAAAGAAGAGUGCAGUCAAAAAAAAGAAAGUGGUCACGAGCCGACUUCAGAAACGUCAGAAAUCACCCAGACGUGCAUCAGAUUCCGUGAACCCAGUGAGUGAGGAAGUCCAGCUCGAAGGAAUUGAAUCGACUGCAAGUCUUGGUUCUCCAUCCAUCCAGCUAUUGGGUCACCAAUACCGGAGUUCUCGGCCAACUCCAACUUGAGGGAUUGUAGUCCAGCCAAUGCCCUGGCCACGGACCCAUCUGGUGGCACAUGUACUUUUCUGCCUGGUAGACCCGGUCCAUCCUGUUGUUGUUGGUGGUUUAGGCGGUGGGUACCUAGCGAUGUUGUCUCCCGCUCCUUCUUGGAACAGGACUACCAGAAGGAAUCCUACCAGGUAAUUUUCCAAGGGCACGCUGUAGCCCAUCGUCUUCGGAUGAGGAGUGUUUGUCCUUGGCUUGGAGUGCAGCUAGGUCGGUCAGGGUCUCAGUCCACGAUCUGCCAGGAGUAUCUGCUUUGCGGCACCGGCUCAGGUGGUGCCACUGGGCCCCGCGUCGGUCCUCUACAGAAACAGAAAAGGGUGUGGCCAAGAGUACCUUGUAUGGCCCCUCCCACCGGUCU
Molecule: long non-coding RNA, 1087 nt
Organism: Gadus morhua (Atlantic cod)
Lineage: Eukaryota; Metazoa; Chordata; Actinopteri; Gadiformes; Gadidae
Exons: 3
Source: RefSeq, a predicted model, not a curated record